GUCCACGCCGUAAACGAUGAGUGCUAGGCGUUGGGGGUAUUGACCCCUCCAGUGCCGCAGCUAACGCGUUAAGCACUCCGCCUGGGGAGUACGGCCGCAAGGCUAAAAACUCAAAGGAAUUGACGGGGCCCGCACAAGCGGUGGAGUAUGUGGUUUAAUUCGACGCAACGCGCAGAACCUUACCUGGGUUAAAAUCCACCGGAAGCCGCCAGAAAAGGUGGGGUGCCCUUCGGGGAACCGGUGAGAAGGUGCUGCAUGGCUGUCGU
Molecule: ribosomal RNA, 266 nt
Filed under: uncultured bacterium
Lineage: Bacteria
Description: partial 16S ribosomal RNA
Rfam family: Bacterial small subunit ribosomal RNA
Source: RNAcentral